AAUGUCUACUUGAAUCGUGCAGUCAAAUCGUUCGUGCAAAAGGCCCCUCAGGACCCAAUAGAGAUUACCUCUUUCAACUUGAAAAAGCCCUUAGCCUCUUGGGAUGUGAAGAUAAACAUGUCAGUGACAUUGCAAAGGAAGCCAGGCGCAUUCUUUCAGAAGAAGUAACCAUCUCAUGAUCUUGCAGAUACCUUGAGCAUUGUCUGAAAAACAAAUGCCUUAAUUUAGUUCUCCAAGAUGUUGAGAAAUCUGUAUUACUAUGUCUAGACAUAUGACAGACACACAUUAUUCUUCUUUGCAACUGGGAGGGAAAAUAAUUGCUUUUCUAUGUCUAAGUUCCUUCAGAUUUCGUGCA
Nicotiana tabacum (common tobacco) is the source of this 355-nucleotide non-coding RNA. Lineage: Eukaryota; Viridiplantae; Streptophyta; Magnoliopsida; Solanales; Solanaceae. The record is from RefSeq and is a predicted model, not a curated record.